AAUGCGUAGAGAUCUGGAGGAAUACCGGUGGCGAAGGCGGCCCCCUGGACAAAGACUGACGCUCAGGUGCGAAAGCGUGGGGAGCAAACAGGAUUAGAUACCCUGGUAGUCCACGCCGUAAACGAUGUCUACUUGGAGGCUGUGCCCUUGAGGCGUGGCUUCCGGAGCUAACGCGUUAAGUAGACCGCCUGGGGAGUACGGCCGCAAGGUUAAAACUCAAAUGAAUUGACGGGGGCCCGCACAAGCGGUGGAGCAUGUGGUUUAAUUCGAUGCAACGCGAAGAACCUUACCUGGUCUUGACAUCCACAGAAGUUUGCAGAGAUGCGAAUGUGCCUUCGGGAACUGUGAGACAGGUGCUGCAUGGCUGUCGUCAGCUCGUGUUGUGAAAUGUUGGGUUAAGUCCCGCAACGAGCGCAAC
This 418-nucleotide ribosomal RNA is filed under the name Salmonella enterica. RNAcentral describes it as "bacterial SSU rRNA". It matches the Rfam family "Bacterial small subunit ribosomal RNA", at positions 685 to 1102 of the family's 1533-position model. The record is from RNAcentral. Lineage: Bacteria; Pseudomonadati; Pseudomonadota; Gammaproteobacteria; Enterobacterales; Enterobacteriaceae.